This 119-nucleotide microRNA precursor is filed under the name Arabidopsis lyrata. RNAcentral's name for it is "miR160c stem-loop (aly-MIR160c)". Its record names the gene aly-MIR160c. The stretch from base 21 to 106 matches the Rfam family "mir-160 microRNA precursor family". Rfam says of the family: The hairpin precursors (represented here) are predicted based on base pairing and cross-species conservation -- their extents are not known. In this case the mature sequence is excised from the 5' arm of the hairpin. The record is from miRBase by way of RNAcentral. Lineage: Eukaryota; Viridiplantae; Streptophyta; Magnoliopsida; Brassicales; Brassicaceae.
CAUAUAAUAGUUUGUCGUCGUUAUGCCUGGCUCCCUGUAUGCCACGAGUGGAUACCGAUUUUGUUAUAAAAUCGGCUGCCGGUGGCGUACAAGGAGCCAAGCAUGACCAUAAGCAUAUG